Molecule: long non-coding RNA, 761 nt
Organism: Pezoporus flaviventris
Lineage: Eukaryota; Metazoa; Chordata; Aves; Psittaciformes; Psittacidae
Exons: 3
Source: RefSeq, a predicted model, not a curated record
AGGUUUCUGUUCAGCCCUUUGACCUCCAUGAAAAGGCACUCUGCUGAGUCAUAUCAAACUCCUUUGUGAAAAAGACACUUCCUUUCAGCUGUGAGAUGCAAUGGCACACUGGGUCACCCAAGGUGAGCAAGAGGCCGUAAUACACCUGCACCUAUGUAGCCUGUCUCUUUGCUGGAGUUCUUGAGCACAAAUCUUUGUAUUAUGACCCACCUCUUGUUCUACAGCCACUUGUAUUUGCUGAUUUGUGACCCAACCGAACUCACAGGCUUACAGGCCUUGGUCUGGGAAUUCACAAAGCAAGAAUCAACAGCAUGAAUCUUAUACAUACUACAUACUGCACAGCUCUGAACAGCCAACUGAAAUUGGUACUUCAGCUGGUGACAGACUCUUCACAUCACCAGUGGCAGCCUUCACCAGACAAAUGAACCACUCAUCUGUGUGGACUGCCCACCUGAAAACAAGGAAAACUGAUCUCGACAGGGCAAAAGACUAUCUUAUCACAAUCUACUGCAAUUAUCUGCCAGGUGUCAACAUCAGGGACCUCCAGAAAGCUCCUUAGUUGCUUUGCAGUUGUUACUUGACUAUAAAUGUGGCAAAUUGCUGGGCAGCUAUAGGAUCUUAAAUCUGAGCAUAAAAUAAAUCAUAGCCACAUCGCACCAAUUUUGCCCAAAAGUCUGGGGAGACAUGCACUAUGUCACCUUUAGAAUAAUCUUUAUCUCUUGCUGUGAUAAAGCAGGGGUCUUUUUAAUGUCUUAUUGCAA